RNAcentral lists this ribosomal RNA (681 nucleotides) under Pseudarthrobacter sp. Its description in RNAcentral is "bacterial SSU rRNA". It matches the Rfam family "Bacterial small subunit ribosomal RNA", at positions 48 to 744 of the family's 1533-position model. Lineage: Bacteria; Bacillati; Actinomycetota; Actinomycetes; Micrococcales; Micrococcaceae. The record is from RNAcentral.
CUUACACAUGCAGUCGAACGAUGAUGGGAGCUUGCUCCUGGAUUAGUGGCGAACGGGUGAGUAACACGUGAGUAACCUGCCCUUAACUCUGGGAUAAGCCUGGGAAACUGGGUCUAAUACCGGAUAUGACUCCUCAUCGCAUGGUGGGGGGUGGAAAGCUUUUUGUGGUUUUGGAUGGACUCGCGGCCUAUCAGCUUGUUGGUGAGGUAAUGGCUUACCAAGGCGACGACGGGUAGCCGGCCUGAGAGGGUGACCGGCCACACUGGGACUGAGACACGGCCCAGACUCCUACGGGAGGCAGCAGUGGGGAAUAUUGCACAAUGGGCGCAAGCCUGAUGCAGCGACGCCGCGUGAGGGAUGACGGCCUUCGGGUUGUAAACCUCUUUCAGUAGGGAAGAAGCGAAAGUGACGGUACCUGCAGAAGAAGCGCCGGCUAACUACGUGCCAGCAGCCGCGGUAAUACGUAGGGCGCAAGCGUUAUCCGGAAUUAUUGGGCGUAAAGAGCUCGUAGGCGGUUUGUCGCGUCUGCCGUGAAAGUCCGGGGCUCAACUCCGGAUCUGCGGUGGGUACGGGCAGACUAGAGUGAUGUAGGGGAGACUGGAAUUCCUGGUGUAGCGGUGAAAUGCGCAGAUAUCAGGAGGAACACCGAUGGCGAAGGCGGGUCUCUGGGCAUUAACUGAC